GGGUCUGGUUUUUCCAGAGGCAAAUUAGUGGUCGGGCCGCCAUUA
This 45-nucleotide non-coding RNA is filed under the name unclassified sequences. RNAcentral describes it as "nhaA-I". It matches the Rfam family "nhaA-I RNA". Rfam says of the family: Acidobacteria, Alphaproteobacteria, Betaproteobacteria and Gammaproteobacteria, Verrucomicrobia, cand. division NC10. Downstream gene The record is from RNAcentral.